This 305-nucleotide ribosomal RNA is filed under the name uncultured bacterium. RNAcentral describes it as "bacterial SSU rRNA". It matches the Rfam family "Bacterial small subunit ribosomal RNA", at positions 335 to 657 of the family's 1533-position model. The record is from RNAcentral.
UUUCCUACGGGAGGCAGCAGUAGGGAAUAUUGCUCAAUGGGGGAAACCCUGAUGCAGCAACGCCGCGUGAGUGAAGAAGUAUUUCGGUAUGUAAAGCUCUAUCAGCAGGGAAGAAAAUGACGGUACCUGAGUAAGAAGCCCCGGCUAACUACGUGCCAGCAGCCGCGGUAAUACGUAGGGGGCAAGCGUUAUCCGGAUUUACUGGGUGUAAAGGGAGCGUAGACGGCAGUGCAAGUCUGGUGUGAAAGGCGGGGGCUCAACCCCCGGACUGCCCUGGAAACUGUAUGGCUGGAGUGCCGGAGAGG